This is a long non-coding RNA of Octopus sinensis (East Asian common octopus), 323 nucleotides long. RefSeq lists it as uncharacterized. The transcript is spliced from 2 exons. NCBI's taxonomy places the organism in Eukaryota, Metazoa, Mollusca, Cephalopoda, Octopoda, Octopodidae. The record is from RefSeq and is a predicted model, not a curated record.
UUCUGGUAGUGACUCAGCUAUUAGAGCAAGAUGUGGAAGCAAGGUCUGGAGUCAAAAGGCUUUAGAGUUAAUUUAGCAAAAAUCAAAGUCUUAUUAAAUAGGAAAGCAGACAAAUCUCUUCAGGUGGACGGCCCUGAUCGAUAUGUAGAAAAGGCGUAGUUAGAAACUCUAUGAGAUGCACCCAGUGUAAGCUAUGGACACAUAAGAGGUGCAGCAAUGUCAAAGGAAGGCUAACUAGGAAAAUAGUUUUUGUAAGUGGCAGAUGUUCAGGAGUAAUAAACACAGAAAAUGCGCAGAGACCAACCUCCGCCACAUUCCAGGGA